RNAcentral lists this ribosomal RNA (462 nucleotides) under uncultured bacterium. RNAcentral describes it as "partial 16S ribosomal RNA". It matches the Rfam family "Bacterial small subunit ribosomal RNA", at positions 28 to 507 of the family's 1533-position model. The record is from RNAcentral.
GACGAACGCUGGCGGCGUGCUUAACACAUGCAAGUCGAACGGAAAGGCCCUUCGGGGUACUCGAGUGGCGAACGGGUGAGUAACACGUGGGUGAUCUGCCCUGCACUUUGGGAUAAGCCUGGGAAACUGGGUCUAAUACCGAAUAGGACCACGCGCUUCAUGGUGUGUGGUGGAAAGCUUUUGCGGUGUGGGAUGGGCCCGCGGCCUAUCAGCUUGUUGGUGGGGUAAUGGCCUACCAAGGCGACGACGGGUAGCCGGCCUGAGAGGGUGACCGGCCACACUGGGACUGAGAUACGGCCCAGACGCCUACGGGAGGCAGCAGUGGGGAAUAUUGCACAAUGGGCGCAAGCCUGAUGCAGCGACGCCGCGUGAGGGAUGACGGCCUUCGGGUUGUAAACCUCUUUCAAUAGGGACGAAGCGCAAGUGACGGUACCUAUAGAAGAAGCACCGGCCAACUACGUG